GGAAGCGGAGGUGAUGAUCGGCGAAGAAAAAGUUGUCAAACUAAGCGAACUGCUCCCCUAUCGCUGGGAUGAAAGGAGUUGAUACAAAAUCGUAACCCUAAUUGUCAAUUGUGCAAUGUUAAUCGUUAAUUGAAAUGGGGGCGUACCGGUUUCGACGGGUAUGUUGAGGUAAGAUAAGCGAGCCGCGGGGGCGAACCGCGUAAAUAGCGCAAAAAACAAAUUAACUAACAACAAUAAUAGCUACGAAUUAGCUUACGCGGCCUAAUUAAGGUUGCCGUCCUACCUUUGAGUACCGCGGCUUAGGAUAGGGCGUCGAGAGCGGUGAACGUGUACGUCAUAAGCUUUGCUGACGUCAUGUAAAAUGAAGCUACUGAGGCCGUGAGUUUGCCUGGCGACGCGCGGUUGAGGGAAUGUAAAUGUUGGGCUACGCUCGAAGAAAGUCUUAUUGAGAUGUGUUCGGACAGGGGUUCGACUCCCCUCGCCUCCACCA
This 490-nucleotide transfer-messenger RNA is filed under the name Clostridia bacterium. The stretch from base 137 to 490 matches the Rfam family "transfer-messenger RNA". Rfam says of the family: Bacterial tmRNA, also known as 10Sa RNA or SsrA, is named for its dual tRNA and mRNA-like properties. Its role is to liberate the mRNA from a stalled ribosome. Lineage: Bacteria; Bacillati; Bacillota; Clostridia. The record is from RNAcentral.